This 492-nucleotide ribosomal RNA is filed under the name uncultured bacterium. Its description in RNAcentral is "partial 16S ribosomal RNA". It matches the Rfam family "Bacterial small subunit ribosomal RNA", at positions 29 to 507 of the family's 1533-position model. The record is from RNAcentral.
AGUGAACGCUGGCGGUAGGCCUAACACAUGCAAGUCGAACGGCAGCACAGUAAGAGCUUGCUCUUACGGGUGGCGAGUGGCGGACGGGUGAGGAAUACAUCGGAAUCUACUUUUUCGUGGGGGAUAACGUAGGGAAACUUACGCUAAUACCGCAUACGACCUACGGGUGAAAGCAGGGGAUCUUCGGACCUUGCGCGAUUGAAUGAGCCGAUGUCGGAUUAGCUAGUUGGCGGGGUAAAGGCCCACCAAGGCGCCGAUAGGUAGCUGGUCUGAGAGGAUGAGCAGCCACACUGGAACUGAGACACGGUCCAGACUCCUACGGGAGGCAGCAGUGGGGAAUAUUGGACAAUGGGCGCAAGCCUGAUCCAGCCAUACCGCGUGGGUGAAGAAGGCCUUCGGGUUGUAAAGCCCUUUUGUUGGGAAAGAAAAGCAGCAGGUUAAUACCCCGCUGUUCUGACGGUACCCAAAGAAUAAGCACCGGCUAACUUCGUG